Molecule: ribosomal RNA, 615 nt
Filed under: Prymnesium sp. RCC6268
Lineage: Eukaryota; Haptophyta; Prymnesiales; Prymnesiaceae
Description: SSU rRNA
Rfam family: Eukaryotic small subunit ribosomal RNA
Source: RNAcentral
GCCGGUCUGCCGAUGGGUACGCACUGGCGGGCGCGUCCUUCCUUCCGGAGACUGGCCCUACUCUUAGCUGAGCGGGGUCGGGAGUCGGAUCGUUUACUUUGAAAAAAUCAGAGUGUUUCAAGCAGGCAGCUCGCUCUUGCAUGGAUUAGCAUGGGAUAAUGAAAUAGGACUUUGGUGCUAUUUUGUUGGUUUCGAACACCGAAGUAAUGAUUAACAGGGACAGUCAGGGGCACUCGUAUUCCGCCGAGAGAGGUGAAAUUCUCAGACCAGCGGAAGACGAACCACUGCGAAAGCAUUUGCCAGGGAUGUUUUCACUGAUCAAGAACGAAAGUUAGGGGAUCGAAGACGAUCAGAUACCGUCGUAGUCUUAACCAUAAACCAUGCCGACUAGGGAUCGGCGGAAGUCCUUUUUUGACUCCGUCGGCACCUUGAGGGAAACUAUAGUCUUUGGGUUCCGGGGGGAGUAUGGUCGCAAGGCUGAAACUUAAAGGAAUUGACGGAAGGGCACCACCAGGAGUGGAGCCUGCGGCUUAAUUUGACUCAACACGGGGAAACUUACCAGGUCCAGACAUUGUGAGGAUUGACAGAUUGAGAGCUCUUUCUUGAUUCGAUGGG